GAGUUUGAUCUUGGCUCAGAUUGAACGCUGGCGGCAUGCCUUACACAUGCAAGUCGAACGGCAGCAUGAUCUAGCUUGCUAGAUUGAUGGCGAGUGGCGAACGGGUGAGUAAUACAUCGGAACGUGCCCUGUAGUGGGGGAUAACUAGUCGAAAGAUUAGCUAAUACCGCAUACGACCUGAGGGUGAAAGUGGGGGACCGCAAGGCCUCAUGCUAUAGGAGCGGCCGAUGUCUGAUUAGCUAGUUGGUGGGGUAAAGGCCCGACCAGGGCGACGAUCAGUAGCUGGUCUGAGAGGACGAUCAGCCACACUGGGACUGAGACACGGCCCAGACUCCUACGGGAGGCAGCAGUGGGGAAUUUUGGACAAGUGGGGGCAACCCUGAUCCAGCAAUGCCGCGUGUGUG
This 404-nucleotide ribosomal RNA is filed under the name uncultured microorganism. RNAcentral describes it as "bacterial SSU rRNA". It matches the Rfam family "Bacterial small subunit ribosomal RNA", at positions 9 to 407 of the family's 1533-position model. The record is from RNAcentral.